GACAUACUAAGAACUUUCCAGAGAUGGAUUGGUGCCUUCGGGAACUUAGAUACAGGUGCUGCAUGGCUGUCGUCAGCUCGUGUCGUGAGAUGUUGGGUUAAGUCCCGCAACGAGCGCAACCCUUUUCCUUAUUUGCCAGCGGGUCAUGCCGGGAACUUUAAGGAUACUGCCAGUGACAAACUGGAGGAAGGCGGGGACGACGUCAAGUCAUCAUGGCCCUUACGGCCAGGGCUACACACGUGCUACAAUGGUCGGUACAGAGGGUUGCUACCUCGCGAGAGGAUGCUAAUCUCAAAAAGCCGAUCGUAGUCCGGAUCGCAGUCUGCAACUCGACUGCGUGAAGUCGGAAUCGCUAGUAAUCGCGGAUCAGAAUGCCGCGGUGAAUACGUUCCCGGGCCUUGUACACACCGCCCGUCACACCAUGGGAGUUUGUUGCACCAGAAGUAGGUAGUCUAACCGCAAGGAGGACGCUUACCACGGUGUGGCCGAUGACUGGGGUGAAGUCGUAACAAGGUAAGCGUAGAUGA
RNAcentral lists this ribosomal RNA (527 nucleotides) under uncultured bacterium. RNAcentral's name for it is "bacterial SSU rRNA". It matches the Rfam family "Bacterial small subunit ribosomal RNA", at positions 983 to 1509 of the family's 1533-position model. The record is from RNAcentral.